RNAcentral lists this ribosomal RNA (254 nucleotides) under uncultured bacterium. RNAcentral describes it as "partial 16S ribosomal RNA". It matches the Rfam family "Bacterial small subunit ribosomal RNA", at positions 524 to 776 of the family's 1533-position model. The record is from RNAcentral.
GACGUAGGGCGCGAGCGUUGUCCGGAUUUAUUGGGCGUAAAGAGCUCGUAGGCGGCUUGUCGCGUCGACUGUGAAAACCCGUGGCUCAACCAUGUGGUCUGCAGUCGAUACGGGCAGGCUAGAAUUCGGUAGGGGAGACUGGAAUUCCUGGUGUAGCGGUGAAAUGCGCAGAUAUCAGGAGGAACACCGGUGGCGAAGGCGGGUCUCUGGGCCUUACCUGACGCUGAGGAGCGAAAGCGUGGGGAGCGAACAGG